UGACAAGUCCAAUGUGCCAAUGGUGGGU
Molecule: non-coding RNA, 28 nt
Filed under: Rattus norvegicus (Norway rat)
Lineage: Eukaryota; Metazoa; Chordata; Mammalia; Rodentia; Muridae
Source: RNAcentral